CCAUUGAAAUCUUGGAGUGGGCCCCACAAAACCAAUAACCAAAAAGUUAUAUCCUUACUCACAUAAAGAAAAGAUUGUAACGUUGUCCCUCUGAAGCCCUAACAACGUCAAUCCCAAAAGUCUACUGCCCCAAAACCCCAAACCUUCCUGACCCCAAAAACCCCAAACCUCCUUGACCCCAAAAAGAUUGGGACUUGAAAGUCUGGUCUCUCUUGUAUUUCAUAUGUUUGAGCCGUGAUGGCUUAAAUUUACUAACAAAACCCCUUACAUUCGAAGAGAUGAUUAACAUUAAAAAGGCUUAGAGGAAGAGGUUUCAUAUGUUUGAGCACUGAUGGCUUAAAUUUACUAACAAAAAAAGGGGUCACCCAAACCCCUUACAUUCGAAGAGAUGAUUAACAUUAAAAAGGCUUAGAGGAAGAGGAACCUUGGCCAUCCCUACUUGUUUCCAAGUAGACUUCUUCUAACAUUAUAGCUUUCUCCAUUGGCUCGUCCAUGGCAUCCUCCAAAGCAGACAACUCUGAAGAUGAAGAAGUUCCACUGCUGACUUCCAUAACAGUUUCAUAUGGAAUUGCAAUUCCUUUAGCAGCAUCACCACCAUAAAGAACACCACGAGCCAUAAGUCUUGCUGAAGACCUCAUUGCCUUCACUGAACCUUUACCUUUCAUUGAUUUGCCUUCUUCUUUGUUAGGAGUCUUCCCGUCGGAGGUUAACUGCUCCUUUCCAAGGUCGUCAUCUCCUUCUUUUUAUCAACAACUUUCUUUCCAAAUGAUUUCUUGAAUAUAACAUCAAUCGGUACUUCAUUGUCCACUCCCAUAUCAUUCACUAUUGUAGCAGUCCUGUUCUCCACUGGGUUCUCCUGUACCACCACAAAAUCAGUGUUGAUUUGGACUGCAUCCGGGUAUCCCGAGAUCCAUCAGCUACAAAAUGAAGCAACAGAGGACUAUCAUCUUGACGAACCAGAUUGAGAGGAGGAUGACCUCCACCAAAGCCAUCCUAUGGUUAGGGACGUCCUUUUCAUUUGCCUCGGGAUCCAAUCCCUAAUCCUCCAAAGGCUGAUCCUCCCCCAUCUCAUCAGGUUGAAAUUUGCCAUCUUCCAAUAACAGAGGGUUGUCUAGCUCCACUUGAUCAAUGAAAACUAUAGCCAAAGGAUUAAGAGGGUCAAAAGAAGGCCUCGGAUGAGAUCGACCCUUCCUAGCAACACAAUGAUGCACAAGGGGAUACAUUCUUCCCUGCAACAAAAUCAAGACUUGCAGAACUAGAGAAGAGCAAAGACGAUGCCCUGAAACCAAAAGAGCAAGAAGGAUGAAAAACAAAUCUUUUCCUUUGCAAUCAGGAUACACCGAUGAAGCCCCAUGCAAGGAAUUGCAUCUUUUGGAAAGGCCUGAAGAGACAAUUCCAAGGCAUAGAAAACCGGCAAAAUAAUAGGGGCCGCCAGCUCACCAUUCAAAGCCGCCUUCCUCGGCUCUGAAGACUAUGCUAGAAAUCCCUUUGGCAAAGAUGCGUCGUCAACCCCAUCACUUUUGGCAAGGUUUAUAUUUGCGUUGUACUGUGAGCCCGCAGGAUCACCCGAA
Molecule: long non-coding RNA, 1571 nt
Filed under: Amborella trichopoda
Lineage: Eukaryota; Viridiplantae; Streptophyta; Magnoliopsida; Amborellales; Amborellaceae
Description: long non-coding RNA (ATRI_LNC000423)
Source: RNAcentral